Molecule: ribosomal RNA, 245 nt
Filed under: uncultured bacterium
Lineage: Bacteria
Description: partial 16S ribosomal RNA
Rfam family: Bacterial small subunit ribosomal RNA
Source: RNAcentral
GAUCAUGGCUCAGGACGAACGCUGGCGGCGCGCCUAACACAUGCAAGUCGAACGAGAGAUGAGGAGCUUGCUCUUCAAAUCGAGUGGCGAACGGGUGAGUAACGCGUGAGGAACCUGCCUCAAAGAGGGGGACAACAGUUGGAAACGACUGCUAAUACCGCAUAAGCCCACGGCUCGGCAUCGAGCAGAGGGAAAAAGGAAGGCAAUCCGCUUUGUAGAUGGCCGUCCGCGUCCCGGACGUUAAG